GACGAACGCUGGCGGCGUGCUUAACACAUGCAAGUCGAACGAGUGGCGAACGGGUGAGUAAUACGUGAGUAACCUGCCCUCUUUUUGGGAUAAGCCUUGGAAACGGGGCUUAAUACCCAUUAAAGGGGGCUGGGCUCGCGGCCUAUCAGCUUGUUGGGGGGGUGAUGGCCUACCACGGCGGUGCCUGGUAGCCGGGCUGGGAGGGUGACCGGCGACAGUGGAAAUGGGACACGGCCCAGACUCCUACGGGAGGCGGCAGUGGGGGAUAAUGGACAAUGGGCGGAAGCCUGAAGCAGCGACGCCGGGUGGGGGAUGUAGGCUUUCGGGUUGUAAGCAUCUGUGGCUAUCGAACGGGUAGGUGGAGAAGAAGCGCCGGCUAACUACGUGCCAGCAGCCGCGGUAAUAC
Molecule: ribosomal RNA, 406 nt
Filed under: uncultured bacterium
Lineage: Bacteria
Description: partial 16S ribosomal RNA
Rfam family: Bacterial small subunit ribosomal RNA
Source: RNAcentral